Molecule: ribosomal RNA, 1506 nt
Filed under: marine metagenome
Description: eukaryotic LSU rRNA
Rfam family: Eukaryotic large subunit ribosomal RNA
Source: RNAcentral
GAUGCACCAGACGCUUGGUUAAGGUGCCAAAGUGCUCGCUCAUUCCGAUACCACAAAGGGUGUUGGUUGAUGAAGACAGCAGGACGGUGGUCAUGGAAGUCGAAAUCCGCUAAGGAGUGUGUAACAACUCACCUGCCGAAUGAAUUAGCCCCGAAAAUGGAUGGCGCUCAAGCGAGUCCCCGAAACCGGGCCAUCAGGGUAGAUGCGAAGCCUUGAUGAGUAGGAGGGCGCAGCGGUUGCAGCGAAGGCGCGGGCGCGAGCCCCGCUUUGAGCGGCCGUUGGUGCAGAUCUUGGUGUUAGUAGCAAAUAUUCAAAUGAAAAUUUUGAAGACUGAAGUGGAGAAAGGUUUCACGUCAACAUUAUUUGGACGUGAGUGACUCGGUCCUAAGGUAUUCCUUACGGGAUUCAGAAGACGCGAUUUUUCGCGUCAUCGGCUAAAAGGGCAAUUGGUUAAAAUUCCGAUAGCCGGACACGGUGCUGAGCGGUGACGCGUUUCUAACCUGGCGACGGUCGCCCGAACCCCGGGAAGAGUUAUCUUUUCUUUUUGACAACGAACAUGCGUUUGAAACGGGAUUGUCUCUAGAUGGACGGAUGUUCGUGGCAGAGCGGCUGACUUCCUCAGCUGUCCGGUGCGUUUGGGAAGCCCCUUGAAAAGCCAGGGGCGUGUUUUGCACUCGGUCCGGGCCGUACUCAUAACCGCAUCAGGUCUCCAAGGUUAAAAGCCUCUGGUCAAUAGAAUAAUGUAGGUAAGGGAAGUCGGCAAAUUGGUUCCGUAAGUUCGCGAUGUGGGAUGGCUCGUCAGACUGGAUGGAAGAGGCUCGGUCCGCGAAGGUGGCUAGCCUACAGGACUGGCUAGGUCCUCUUCGGGGGGCCCGGCCGGGCUUGUUCGGUAGGCUGCUGGAGGGGUCGAGACAGUGCCGGGGCCUUUUGGACCCGGUUACAUUCUCGCCAUAACAAGCAGUUAAUGAUGAACUCGUAGUGACCACAGGAACCCGACUGUUUAAUUAAAACAAAGCAUUGCGAUGGUCGUAAGUCGAUGUUGACGCAAUGUGAUUUCUGCCCAGUGCCAUGAAUGUCAAAGUGAUGUGAUUUAACCAAGCGCUGGUAAACGGCGGGAGUAACUAUGACUCUCUUAAGGUAGCCAAAUGCCUCGUCAUCUAAUUAGUGACGCGCAUGAAUGGAUCAACGAGGUUCCUACUGUCCCUAUCUACUAUCUAGCGAAACCACAGCUAAGGGAACGGGCUUGGGAGUAACGGCGGGGAAAGAAGACCCUGUUGAGCUUGACUUUAGUCUGACAUUGUGAAAUGACCUGAUUGGUGCAGCAUAAGUGGGAGCGAAAGCAACAGUGAGAUACCACUACUUUCAGCGUUGUUUUACUUACUCGGUUAGUAACCACGGGAUUCUAUAUCCCAUUUCUAGCGUUAAGGGCCCCUCGGGGCCUGAGGUUCGUCGUGGACACUGUCAGGUGGGGAGUUUGGCUGGGGCGGCACAUCUGUUAAAUGAUAA